RNAcentral lists this ribosomal RNA (157 nucleotides) under uncultured Cortinarius. RNAcentral's name for it is "5.8S ribosomal RNA". It matches the Rfam family "5.8S ribosomal RNA". From Rfam's summary of the family: 5.8S ribosomal RNA (5.8S rRNA) is a component of the large subunit of the eukaryotic ribosome. It is transcribed by RNA polymerase I as part of the 45S precursor that also contains 18S and 28S rRNA. Functionally, it is thought that 5.8S rRNA may be involved in ribosome translocation. Lineage: Eukaryota; Fungi; Basidiomycota; Agaricomycetes; Agaricales; Cortinariaceae. The record is from RNAcentral.
AACUUUCAGCAACGGAUCUCUUGGCUCUCGCAUCGAUGAAGAACGCAGCGAAAUGCGAUAAGUAAUGUGAAUUGCAGAAUUCAGUGAAUCAUCGAAUCUUUGAACGCACCUUGCGCUCUUUGGUAUUCCGAAGAGCAUGCCUGUUUGAGUGCCAUUA